UACUGAGUGGCGGACGGGUGAGUAACGCGUGGGUAACCUGCCUCAUACAGGGGAUAACAGUUAGAAAUGACUGCUAAUACCGCAUAAGACCACAGUACCGCAUGGUACAGGGGUUAAAACUCCGGUGGUAUGAGAUGGACCCGCGUCUGAUUAGGUAGUUGGUGGGUAACGGCCUACCAAGCCGACGAUCAGUAGCCGACCUGAGAGGGUGACCGGCCACAUUGGGACUGAGACACGGCCCAA
This 243-nucleotide ribosomal RNA is filed under the name uncultured bacterium. RNAcentral describes it as "partial 16S ribosomal RNA". It matches the Rfam family "Bacterial small subunit ribosomal RNA", at positions 89 to 334 of the family's 1533-position model. The record is from RNAcentral.